RNAcentral lists this ribosomal RNA (216 nucleotides) under uncultured bacterium. RNAcentral's name for it is "partial 16S ribosomal RNA". It matches the Rfam family "Bacterial small subunit ribosomal RNA", at positions 30 to 240 of the family's 1533-position model. The record is from RNAcentral.
AUUGAACGCUGGCGGCAGGCCUAACACAUGCAAGUCGAACGGUAGCACAGAGAGCUUGCUCUCGGGUGACGAGUGGCGGACGGGUGAGUAAUGUCUGGGAAACUGCCUGAUGGAGGGGGAUAACUACUGGAAACGGUAGCUAAUACCGCAUAAUGUCGCAAGACCAAAGAGGGGGACCUUCGGGCCUCUUCGCCAUCAGAUGUCGCCCAGAGUGGG